Molecule: long non-coding RNA, 991 nt
Filed under: Aquila chrysaetos chrysaetos
Lineage: Eukaryota; Metazoa; Chordata; Aves; Accipitriformes; Accipitridae
Description: lncRNA (ENSACCG00020011241.1)
Source: RNAcentral
UUAUUGGUUUUUAUCUUUGAUUGUUUUUACUUAAGCUAGUAUUAUUAUCUUUUGCAGUACCACUUCCAGGCCCUAGACCCUGUUUGUGCUGGAUGCUGCGUUAAGAAGUACGUAACAAACCCGAGUCCUUGACCUGAGGAAUCUCACUGCUCUGUCUUGUGGAAGGAUUUCUAAUGGAAGGCAACAUGAAUGAGGCAACAGAAUUUCAGUCAACGUGUAGAAGUACAUAUAUAUUUUUGUGGCGAGUUUAGAAUGAUGGCAGAAUGAAGCCUGUGUCUACAGUCUCACAACACAGAGAAAAUAAAUCCUGAUGAUGUUAAACUCUGACAAAACUCUGACAAUUUCACUUUUGCUAUGGGAACAUGAUGGCCUAUUUUCUGUUUUCUCCAGAAGCUUGUUGGAAUUUACCUUGGAAAUCGUGUGAGAGCUUCAGAGAGCCGGGUUUUCUUGGCAACACCAGCCGGUAGUCAUUUCUGAACAAACAAGAUUGAAAUUUAUGUCUCAGUGAAGCAAUACUGGAAGCCUGUUUGACGUGCUGCACAAAGACCAUUUCCAGCGCUCUCCAGCCAGAUGAAUUUCCUCCAUGUGCUGCAGCAUUGUUGCAACACCCUUUUCUCCCCUUUGGCUUCACGGAGACUGGGCUGCUGUGCUAGGGCUGACUGCUGUCACCGCUUUACCUUUCGAGACCUUGUGCCGCACCCCCACAUUAAAAGUGCUGAGACCUGACUGUCGCUUGUUCAAUGCAUUUCCAGAUGAAGUACCUCUACGUUCUCACUUCUGCUUCUUUCAUGUUUUGGAGAGGCUCCUUAGAAGCACCCCAAAAUAAAUCUAACUUUCUUCUUUGACUUGCACAAAAAGUCAACAGCAAUAGGUUUCUGGUUUCCUGACAUUACUUCUGUUUAUAGUGAUCAAUACUUGUUCAGUGUUUCCUUGCUAUUUUCAGUCUUGUUUAGAUUGUAAAUAAUUUGGAUCAGAGACCUGUCUUUUUAUU